This 402-nucleotide ribosomal RNA is filed under the name uncultured prokaryote. RNAcentral's name for it is "bacterial SSU rRNA". It matches the Rfam family "Bacterial small subunit ribosomal RNA", at positions 355 to 774 of the family's 1533-position model. The record is from RNAcentral.
UGGGGAAUAUUGCACAAUGGGGGAAACCCUGAUGCAGCGACGCCGCGUGAAGGAAGAAGUAUUUCGGUAUGUAAAGUACUAUCAGCAGGGAAGAAAAUGACGGUACCUGACUAAGAAGCUCCGGCUAACUACGUGCCAGCAGCCGCGGUAAUACGUAGGGGGCAAGCGUUAUCCGGAUUUAGUGGGUGUAAAGGGAGCGUAGACGGAGUAGCAAGUCUGAUGUGAAAGGCGGGGGCUCAACCGCCGGAGUGCAUUGGAAACUGUUGAGCUUGAGUACCGGAGAGGUAAGCGGAAUUCCUAGUGUAGCGGUGAAAUGCGUAGAUAUUAGGAGGAACACCAGUGGCGAAGGCGGCUUACUGGACGGUAACUGACGUUGAGGCUCGAAAGCGUGGGGAGCAAACA